RNAcentral lists this ribosomal RNA (465 nucleotides) under uncultured bacterium. RNAcentral's name for it is "partial 16S ribosomal RNA". It matches the Rfam family "Bacterial small subunit ribosomal RNA", at positions 28 to 507 of the family's 1533-position model. The record is from RNAcentral.
GAUGAACGCUGGCGGCGUGCUUAACACAUGCAAGUCGAACGGAAAGGCUCCUGCUUGCAGGGGUACUCGAGUGGCGAACGGGUGGGUAACACGUGGGUGAUCUGCCCUGCACUUCGGGAUAAGCCUGGGAAACUGGGUCUAAUACCGGAUAGGACCACAUUUUGGAUGGUGUGGUGGAAAGUUUUUCGGUGUGGGAUGAGCUCGCGGCCUAUCAGCUUGUUGGUGGGGUAAUGGCCUACCAAGGCGUCGACGGGUAGCCGGCCUGAGAGGGUGUACGGCCACAUUGGGACUGAGAUACGGCCCAGACUCCUACGGGAGGCAGCAGUGGGGAAUAUUGCACAAUGGGCGCAAGCCUGAUGCAGCGACGCCGCGUGGGGGAUGACGGCCUUCGGGUUGUAAACUCCUUUCGCUAGGGACGAAGCGCAAGUGACGGUACCUGGAGAAGAAGCACCGGCUAACUACGUG